Molecule: ribosomal RNA, 274 nt
Filed under: uncultured bacterium
Lineage: Bacteria
Description: partial 16S ribosomal RNA
Rfam family: Bacterial small subunit ribosomal RNA
Source: RNAcentral
AUACAGAGGGUGCGAGCGUUAAUCGGAAUUACUGGGUGUAAAGCGCGCGUAGGCGGUCUAUUAAGUCAGAUGUGAAAUCCCAGGGCUCAACCUUGGAACUGCAUCUGAUACUGGUAGACUAGAGUUUUGGAGAGGGAAGUAGAAUUUCAGGUGUAGCGGUGAAAUGCAUAGAGAUCUGAAGGAAUACCAGUGGCGAAGGCGACUUCCUGGCCAAAAACUGACGCUGAGGUGCGAAAGCGUGGGUAGCAAACGGGAUUAGAAACCCCAGUAGUCC